UAGACAACAUUGAAGGCGUCUAACAGU
RNAcentral lists this non-coding RNA (27 nucleotides) under Mus musculus (house mouse). Lineage: Eukaryota; Metazoa; Chordata; Mammalia; Rodentia; Muridae. The record is from RNAcentral.